AUUGAACGCUAGCGGGAUGCUUUACACAUGCAAGUCGAACGGCAGCGCGGACUUCGGUCUGGCGGCGAGUGGCGAACGGGUGAGUAAUGUAUCGGAACGUGCCCAGUAGCGGGGGAUAACUACGCGAAAGCGUAGCUAAUACCGCAUACGCCCUACGGGGGAAAGCAGGGGAUCGUAAGACCUUGCACUAUUGGAGCGGCCGAUAUCGGAUUAGCUAGUUGGUGAGGUAACGGCUCACCAAGGCGACGAUCCGUAGCUGGUUUGAGAGGACGACCAGCCACACCGGGACUGAGACACGGCCCAGACUCCUACGGGAGGCAGCAGUGGGGAAUUUUGGACAAUGGGGGCAACCCUGAUCCAGCCAUCCCGCGUGUGCGAUGAAGGCCUUCGGGUUGUAAAGCACUUUUGGCAGGAAAGAAACGUCGCGGGCUAAUACCCCGUGGAACUGACGGUACCUGCAGAAUAAGCACCGGCUAACUACGUG
RNAcentral lists this ribosomal RNA (484 nucleotides) under uncultured bacterium. Its description in RNAcentral is "partial 16S ribosomal RNA". It matches the Rfam family "Bacterial small subunit ribosomal RNA", at positions 30 to 507 of the family's 1533-position model. The record is from RNAcentral.